RNAcentral lists this ribosomal RNA (421 nucleotides) under uncultured bacterium. RNAcentral describes it as "bacterial SSU rRNA". It matches the Rfam family "Bacterial small subunit ribosomal RNA", at positions 355 to 774 of the family's 1533-position model. The record is from RNAcentral.
UAAGGAAUAUUGGUCAAUGGACGCAAGUCUGAACCAGCCAUGCCGCGUGAAGGAUGAAGGUCCUCUGGAUUGUAAACUUCUUUUAUCUGGGACGAAAACGGGAUUUUUAUCUCAAUUGACGGUACCAGAGGAAUAAGCACCGGCUAACUCCGUGCCAGCAGCCGCGGUAAUACGGAGGGUGCGAGCGUUAUCCGGAUUUACUGGGUUUAAAGGGUGCGUAGGUGGGCUUAUAAGUCAGUGGUGAAAUCUCCGAGCUUAACUUGGAAACUGCCGUUGAUACUAUAGGUCUUGAAUUAUCGGGAGGUAAGCGGAAUAUGUCAUGUAGCGGUGAAAUGCUUAGAUAUGACAUAGAACACCAAUUGCGAAGGCAGCUUACUACAUAUAAAUUGACGCUGAGGCACGAAAGCGUGGGGAUCAAACA